Molecule: ribosomal RNA, 497 nt
Filed under: uncultured bacterium
Lineage: Bacteria
Description: partial 16S ribosomal RNA
Rfam family: Bacterial small subunit ribosomal RNA
Source: RNAcentral
GAUGAACGCUGGCGGCGUGCCUAAUACAUGCAAGUCGAGCGAACAGACGAGGAGCUUGCUCCUCUGACGUUAGCGGCGGACGGGUGGGUAACACGUGGAUAACCUACCUAUAAGACUGGGAUAACUUCGGGAAACCUGAGCUAAUACCGGAUAAUAUAUUGAACCGCAUGGUUCAAUAGUGAAAGACGGUUUUGCUGUCACUUAUAGAUGGAUCCGCGCCGCAUUAGCUAGUUGGUAAGGUAACGGCUUACCAAGGCAACGAUGCGUAGCCGACCUGAGAGGGUGAUAGGCCACACUGGAACUGAGACACGGUCCAGACUCCUACGGGAGGCAGCAGUAGGGAAUCUUCCGCAAUGGGCGAAAGCCUGACGGAGCAACGCCGCGUGAGUGAUGAAGGUCUUCGGAUCGUAAAACUCUGUUAUUAGGGAAGAACAAAUGUGUAAGUAACUAUGCACGUCUUGACGGUACCUAAUCAGAAAGCCACGGCUAACUACGUG